RNAcentral lists this long non-coding RNA (1448 nucleotides) under Astyanax mexicanus (Mexican tetra). RNAcentral describes it as "lncRNA (ENSAMXG00005015872.1)". The record is from RNAcentral. Lineage: Eukaryota; Metazoa; Chordata; Actinopteri; Characiformes; Acestrorhamphidae.
UUAUUGUUCCGACGGACAGUUCUGGUGGAAACAGGAGAGUUGAGGUGCACAUUGAAUUCUGCCGUGAUUUGAUCAGCCGUGGUUUUAUGUUUUUUGGAUACAAUCCGGGUUAGCACCCGAACACCCCUUUCAGACAGCUUCCUCUCGUGUCCACAGUUAAUCCUGUUGGAUGUGGUUGGUCCUUCUUGGUGGUAUGCUGACAUUACCCUGGAUACCGUGGCUCUUGAUGCAUCACAAAGACUUGCUGUCUUGGUCACAGAUGCUCCAGCAAGACGUGCACCGACAAUUUAUCCUCUUUUGAACUCUGGUAUGUCACCCAUAAUGUUGUUUGCAUUGCAAUAUUUAGAGUAAAACUGUGCUCUUACCCUGCUAAUUGAACCUUCACACUCUGCUCAUACUGGUGCAAUGUGCAAUUAAUGAAGAUGGGCCACCAGGCUUGUCCAAUUUAGCCAUGAAACCACCCACACUAAAAUGACAGGUGUUUCAGUUUCAUUCUCCAACCCCUGUAUAUGUAAGUUUGAGAGACAGACACAGCUUAGAGCCCAGAAGGACUACAAGACAGAUGCUGAACAGGCUAAUUUCCUCCUGAACAGCAUCACAGGAGAGUUCCAGUGUCUGAUGGCUGGGCUAAUCUCUACUGAACCCGUGUCCUCCUGUGGACAUUUGUCCAUUUGCUAUCACUGAAAACCUCACUCACUACUGAUAUCCUUUUCCUCUUCUCCUAUUCAAAUGUUGUGUUGAACUAAUGUUUAUUUUGAUAGUUAACUAAUCUGAUUAUUUUUAAUAAUGUUUUAAUUAGUCAAUCAUUAUAUCCGCCAUGUCAUCCAUGUAUUUUAAAUGAAAGAAACUGAUGAACAUGGAAUUUAAAUGGCCUUUAAAUGCCCAAGAGAUGAUUAAAUGUGGAGAAUAUUGAUAUUUAGUGAGUAAAUAUGUAAUCUGUUGUGUUUAGGCACUUUUGGAGACGCAGACCAAGUUGAGUGUGAACUGUGUGAGUGAGCCCUUUACCCUUCUCCCAUUGUGUUUCUGUCUUUAGCAGUGUGUAAUGCAUUGCUGUUACAAAUGAAUGAUUAUUUGACAAAUUAUUUGACAAAUUUGGACUGAAAUUCACCAAAGGUUUUAUUUUAAAACUGUCAUCUAUAUCGACUAAUUGCUUCAGCCCUAAAUGGAUUGAAGUAAGUGCAUUAAUUCCUAGACUGAGUAGCAUUACCAGAUAUGUGUCAGAUUUUAGCAUCAUAAAAUGUCAGAUUCAGUGUGUUUUUUGCUGUUUACCAUUUGGAACUCAUUCCAUGAUACAAGAACUGAAAGACUCAGUGUGUGAGUUUGCAUUAGAUUGUGAGUUUAGAGAGUCUUUCAGUUCGUGUUUGUGUUGUUUUUGCCCAUUCUUGGUUGCAAAAGUCUUCUAGUUCUUAUUUUUGGGGCAUCUUGUUGUACGACUCUUUCGAUGUCUA